UAGACUUUGAUCCUGGCUCAGAACGAACGUUGGCGGCGUGGAUUAGGCAUGCUAGUCGAACGCGAAAGGGUAGCAAUACCCGAGUAAAGUGGCGAACGGGUGAGUAACGCGUAGGAAACCUGCCUUCGAGAUGGGGAUAACACUCCUAACGGGGUGCUAAUACCGAAUGACACUGCGAAGUCGCGUGGCUGUGCAGUCAAAGGUGGCCUCUGCUCGCAAGCUACCACUCGAAGAUGGUCCUGCGUCCCAUUAGCUAGUUGGUGGGGUAACGGCUCACCAAGGCAACGAUGGGUAGCCGAUCUGAGAGGAUGACCGGCCACACUGGGACUGAGAUACGGGCCAUACUCCUACGGGAGGCAGCAGUCGAGAGGCUUCGGCAAUGGGGGAAACCCUGACCGAGCGACGCCGCGUGGAGGAUGAAGGCCUUUGG
RNAcentral lists this ribosomal RNA (430 nucleotides) under uncultured bacterium. RNAcentral describes it as "bacterial SSU rRNA". It matches the Rfam family "Bacterial small subunit ribosomal RNA", at positions 1 to 421 of the family's 1533-position model. The record is from RNAcentral.